RNAcentral lists this non-coding RNA (39 nucleotides) under Mycobacterium sp. 141. RNAcentral describes it as "L31-Actinobacteria ribosomal protein leader". It matches the Rfam family "L31-Actinobacteria ribosomal protein leader". The record is from RNAcentral. Lineage: Bacteria; Bacillati; Actinomycetota; Actinomycetes; Mycobacteriales; Mycobacteriaceae.
UCGGUCCCGGUUCACGUCCACACGCGGGCGACCCGGGCC